GGGGUUGUAGCUCAGAGGUAGAGCCCUUGCCUAGCAAGUGCAAGGUUCUGGGUUCAAUCCUCAACACCA
This 69-nucleotide transfer RNA is filed under the name Ictidomys tridecemlineatus (thirteen-lined ground squirrel). RNAcentral's name for it is "Spermophilus tridecemlineatus (thirteen-lined ground squirrel) tRNA". It matches the Rfam family "tRNA". From Rfam's summary of the family: Transfer RNA (tRNA) molecules are approximately 80 nucleotides in length. Their secondary structure includes four short double-helical elements and three loops (D, anti-codon, and T loops). Lineage: Eukaryota; Metazoa; Chordata; Mammalia; Rodentia; Sciuridae. The record is from Rfam by way of RNAcentral.